AGACGAACCGUACAAACGUUAUUCGGAAUCAUUGGGCUUAAAGGGUGCGUAGGCGGCGCUGCAAGUUGGGUGUGAAAUCCCUCGGCUCAACCGAGGAAUGGCGCCCAAAACUGCCGUGCUUGAGGGAGACAGAGGUGAGCGGAACUUGCGGUGGAGCGGUGAAAUGCGUUGAUAUCGCAAGGAACACCGGUGGCGAAAGCGGCUCACUGGGUCUUUUCUGACGCUGAGGCACGAAAGCUAGGGUAGCGAACGGGAUUAGAUACCCCGGUAGUCCUAGCUGUAAACGAUGAGCACUGGGUCGGAGGGCCUCCCAUAGUUUUCCGGCCGUAGCGAAAGUGUUAAGUGCUCCGCCUGGGGAGUAUGGUCGCAAGGCUGAA
RNAcentral lists this ribosomal RNA (377 nucleotides) under uncultured bacterium. RNAcentral describes it as "bacterial SSU rRNA". It matches the Rfam family "Bacterial small subunit ribosomal RNA", at positions 523 to 898 of the family's 1533-position model. The record is from RNAcentral.